CGAGAGGUCACGUACGCCGCGCUUCGAAGAACCCCGCUCACCAUUGACAUACGACUCGGUUGUCAAAAACAUGGAGGAAACUAUGGAGAUAAUGAGGGUCCAGAAGACCUCCACUACAAGAAAUUAAAUCUGGAGGUCCUCCCAAUUUUGUUCAGUUCCAAACCAAGCAUUUCAUUUCCAUUAGGUUAAGUUAACAUUUGAUUUAUUAUUAUUAUUAUAUAUUGUUUCACAUAAACUUUACCAGUCAAGAGGACUAUGACCUGUAGGACAGGCAGCUUCCCCAUGUUAGUAAUUAUCUGUGAAUUUCCUGCACCAAAUUCAGUGUUUUGUUCCUUCAUAUAUUAUUUUUUUCUCUCUUACUUCCUGUUCUAUAUAUGCUAUAGGUACAACAUUUGUAAGUAUUUUUCUGGUGAUGUCAAUGUGUUUUAACAUUGACGUGAUCUUCGUCACUUUUAAGUGAUGCUGCCAGAUAAAACAGUUGCAAGAAUGAGGAACAUAAUAUAGCCGGUCACCCAAAGCUAUGCUGCAUCGGGGCCAAAGCCCCCCUCGUGAAGGAGAUUAUCCUUUCUCGUCCACCGCGUCAUGACUACAGGCCCGUUAGAGGCAUACCUGACGAGAGCAACGGAACCAGGAAGUAAAAAUAGCAAAAGGGAAAUCCCCUUGGUCACGUGCAUUUCCGCUUCUAAGAAGUUUAAUAUAGAAAUACAACGUAAUCAAAAGAGCUAGGAGCAUCAUAUUUGUAAAUUCAACCAUGUUUAAUUAAUUAGUUUUUCAUGUCGAAUUCUAGGUACCUCCCAAUCUCUGGGGGCCAGUGCAUGAUUUUGAAAUGCAAAACAAAUAGGAAGUUAACGAUGCUUAAAGCUACGACAAAACCCAUUAGAUGAUGAAACUUUUGAAAUUUGCACGUGGAUACGUGCAAAACAAUCACAAUCAAUUGGGUCUCUAAGAAACCAACAAACAAUUUUUAUAAUGAUAAAAAGCUGUAGCAGCCAGUAUUUAUUGGCAUUAGUUCUGUUGGCACUAUAACUACUCUUAUAAACUAAUUCAGAAAUAAACAUAAUAAAGCUAGAAUGAGAAGUUAAAAUAUACAUGCAUUAAACUAAGUCUUUAAAAUCCCCUUACAGAAAGACAGCGUACAGUAAGAUGUCCAUUGAAAGCAUAUGAAGAUGUAGGACUCAUAUCUUGAACAAUUUUAUAUGUAAAGGAUGGGUUUUUCUUAUCUGAGUCUGCAGCAUGCCAGCCAUUAUGAUAACAAUGACAAUAACUGAAGUUACAAUUCACAAAAAUAAAAUUAAAAAAAUAAUAAUAAAAUAAAAAUAAAUUUUAAAAUUUAAAAAAAAAUCAGUUAUAAACAAAUAAUGAAAUCAGCCACAUGGCCUGGGCAAGUGAUUGAAGGCAGAUAACACAUAUUUUGUACUGAACAAGUUUUAAAAACUGUUACAGUAGAGCUAGAUAAUAACAUGAAGAUAAACAUAAUAAUACAUAAAAAGACAACAAAACACGUAUUCAAGGAGUUCAGUAAAACAAAUCAGAAAAAUCACAUUGCCUUAAAGGGGGAGGGAGGUACAUUUCAUAGUUAUUAAAAAUGCCACUGUUAUCAAGCAAAAUGACCAAAACAUAAAUAUGCAUAUUUCACAGAUAUAUUUUAACUAAAAUUCAUGUUCACAAUUCUUCAAAUUAUGUAAUAGUAACAUUUUGGGUGUAAAUGUGUAAUUCUGGUCUACAGAGCCCCUCUGAAUACCAUCCUCACGGCACAGUGCGUCUACUGAGAACUCAAAUUUGGUAUCGAAAUUCUCCUUCACGAGCCACAGUUAGAUUUCAAACAAAUAUGAAAUUAGAACUUUUGUCAAUGUUUUUUUUUGUCUUCUGUGGGACAUUUGUCUAGAAGAAGUUUGGUUCCUGAGCUCUCAGAUUUGAAAGAUUUUUACCUGGUUAAAAACUUAUGCUAGAAACCAAUAAUGAUACCUCCCCCCCCAAAAAAAAGGGAAAAAAUCCUGAUAUUGAUUGUUUAGUUGCUGUAUCUCACCUGUAGAGCAAUUAGAGGUGACAAACUUCCCUCGCGUCACCCAUCAAGAUAAAGCACAAGUUCAUAUAAAUAUACCAAUUUGCAACAGACUCAAUUAAUAAUCUGGCCUGAAUGAAUCAUCGAUUCAUUCCUUUAACUAAAAUAAUAUUUUUUUGUAUGAGAAGACAGAUAUCUUUAUUUAAGAUAUAAUAUGAUUAUUUAUACAGUAAAAGAGAAAAAGCCCUAAAAUACAAAUUUUGUCAAAAGCAAAGUGUUACCCAAAAUCAAGCUAAUUGCUUAAUUGCUCAAUGUUGAGGAAGGCAAAGACUUUCACUGCUUGUUUAGAGAACUUCUACCAGUACAUAUGUAUACUACACAGACACUUGGCACUAUUGAAUACGCUCAGCUUAAUCAAUGACCUAGAUUCAGUAUGUAGGUCACAUUAUCCAGGUCUUCAUAUCUUAUGACCUUGGUACAGUAUCAAUUAAGGUCAGUGGUUUAAAACAGGGUUUCUGUGUCUAAGGCCGCAUUCACAACCAAAAGUUGAUCCGUGGACUAACAGAUCCCCUGAACCACUUCAAAGCUUACUGCAUAAUCCCCAUGGGGAAUCUAUUAAGUGUCUAUUAUAGGAUUAUGCAGCAAGUUUUCAACUGGGUGAGCCAUACUUGAUCUGGGGAUCAGUUAGUCUGCAGAUCAACUUGUUCUGAAUGCGUCCUUAUUUGUUAUCGAGGAUAUUUAUAGCUUUCAAACUCGUUACUGAACUAAACACGUCAAUGUAUUUUGCUCAACUUUGCCUUAUUCCAGCUACACAUAAGUAAGCUGCAAUAAUUUCAUGCUCACUUCAGUACUUAAUUUCUUCUUGCAUAAUCUGAUUAACAUAUCAGUAGAAAUAUUGAAAUUUUAACAAGACAGAUAAUGUUUAAGGUAAAAGCUAAGGGAGAUGAGGUAUAAUCAAAAUCUAUCUACAUUAGGUUUAUAGUUUAAUUACAGCUCUAUUUAUAUGUGUAUAAAUGAAAAAUACUGUAAGCAAUGAACCUGAUAUUUUAACAAAAACUUAAACUAUUUGCACUUAAUUAGCCAAUGAAACAAAAUAAGCCCCAAUAAAUGAAACUGACAUCUACUUGAAGAUCCUUGAAAGCAAGACUAGGAAUACAAUUACAUGAUCUGCUGGGUUUACACAAUCAACAAAACUACUACUUUCAUAUAUUCAUUUUAGAAUAUUUAUAAAUGAGAGUUGUCUAGAAAUACUAUUAUACUUUUCUCCCUUCCAGUUAAAAUUCCCAUUGAAAUGGCACAAAAUGCCAUUCAAAUUAAAAACAAAAUGCCUUCUUAAAUAGUCUUAAUCAUUUCAAAUGGCAUUAAGCUAUUCAGUAAUAAUACUCAGUAUAAAGUAAGACAUAACUGUGUCUCUAUUAAAUUUGUAUUCACAUUUUUUAUAACCAUCAUGCAUUUUUCACAAAUGCACCAUACAAGUCUUUUGCAGUUCACGAGCUUAAUUACUUCAUGUUGCCGGAUAGCAUUCUACAACUCUAAUAAAUUUAUCAUAAUUGUGGAUUAAAUAUAAUAAGUCCCUUUCUCUGGUCUAAAAAAAGUUCUAACCUGUGACCAACUGUCUACAGGAAGUGCUCAGUCGGCUGCAUACACUUGACGAAUUUUUACAAUUAUAUUAAAAACUACUAGAACUGUCCACUAGAACUGGACAAAUACCCCUUGUCAAAUAUGGACACACAGACAGAGGGGGGAAAUUCCUUCAUGCCCCCGCUACAUGUUAUAGAAUUUAUGUGUGGCAAACUCUCCUUCAAAAUGAUCAAAAUUGCAGGAGGAGAAAAAUCUGCAUGAAAGCUAACUGGCCUUAGGUUAAAUUUCUCAAAAGUUCACUAUUCUGAAACUUUUUAUGCUUUUUCAGAGGUUUAUGGAUCUGAAAUUUGAGAACAAAAACUGUGCAGACCAUUCUACACCCAGGCAAGAUGCUGAAGAUUCAUAUGUUAAAUAUCAAAAAUUGGUUUAAAAAGUUUUUAAAAUGGGAAAAUGGAUAUUGAAAUAAUAUGCACAAGAUCAUUGUGCAAGUGUGAGUGCCACGAAACUAAAUGAAAUCUGCCAGAGAGGUUAGUCAGACAAUUUUUCGACCAUUUACUGACAGGCAGAUGGGUAUGAUUCAGAUACCCUAAGGGCUCAUAGGCAGCAGAUUUAAUAGUUAUUUUUUAGGAAUUCAUUAAUUACUCAACCCAUUUCUACCUGCUACUAAAAAAUUUAUUGCAAGUCCUUGCACUAGGCUGCUAAUACUUCAAAAUUAAGUUGACUAGUCCCCAGCUGGUGGGUGACGACAAUCUCUAUCUCUGCAUGAAGAUAUCAUUUUCACAUUUU
Lingula anatina is the source of this 4369-nucleotide long non-coding RNA. RefSeq lists it as uncharacterized. The record is from RefSeq and is a predicted model, not a curated record. NCBI's taxonomy places the organism in Eukaryota, Metazoa, Brachiopoda, Lingulata, Lingulida, Lingulidae.